Molecule: long non-coding RNA, 1856 nt
Organism: Musa acuminata subsp. malaccensis (wild Malaysian banana)
Lineage: Eukaryota; Viridiplantae; Streptophyta; Magnoliopsida; Zingiberales; Musaceae
Source: RefSeq, a predicted model, not a curated record
UUUGCGAUGGUCGCAACGGUUGAGCUCUCUUCCAACGUUCUGCCAUUGGUGCGCACGGAGGAUUGCGAUGGCGGAGUAAGGAGGCCUUCGUCCUCCGGGCUUUGCACAUGGCGCCGAUGAGGGGCCUAAAGCUCAGAGUUUUGUUGGGUCCCAAAUGUGGGAUGGAAUAAACUCCUUGGAGGUGAUUCUGUCUCGCGACGUGCACUAUUUGCUCUCCUCUGGGAAGCUGCAAGAGAACACCGUCUUCCGGCUGCUGGAGUUCAAGUGGACGGUCCAGUGAGUCUUCAAUUUUUCGAUUGCAAUCUAUUAAUUUCUCGAGUCUCCUUAAUCUUCUAAAAAAUGAUUGAAAUGGGAGGUAGAUUAGGUCAUGAAUUAUCGAUGGUUGAUUCCCUUUGGCCAUCUUUGAUAGGGCCUACCGAAUUAGGUUAGAACUAUGCAAUUUCAUUGAUGUAGGAUCAAGACUAACAUGUUCUUGAGAUGAAACAAUGUUGUAACUUUGAUAUGGUCACCAAUGUGCUGCUGAGGAAGCAACACUGUCCAGUUAUCUGUUCCUGUAAGGAUGUGAAGUAUUGUUUUCUAGUAUUUUUGGUGUAGUAAAAUGUAUGUAAUCGAUGACAAGUUUUUAAUUUCUCUCAGAAUUUUAGUUGCUUUUGAUGUUGAAUUAAUAUGCUAUCUAUUGCCAAUUACAUGUAUGGAUUGGUUUACUUUGUGUAAAUUUUCAAUGAUUGUUUGUUAAAUCCUCUUCUUGCUGCAAUCUUUACUUUUAUUUGUUGCGGUAUGCUCUAAACUUUUCUUCAUCGACAGUAGGGCUAUAAUCUCGCAAGAUAUUGAGAUCCUAGAUGAAAUUUUUUAUUUUUCCGACUUCACACUCCCGAGCACUUUGAGCUGUCAUCUUGAUGAUUCUACAUCCAUAGAACCAUCUCAAGAAACUUAAGAUGAACCGUCAGGCGGUGCAAAUAUCUAUUCCUUCUCUAAUACUACUGUUGUGGCUGAGUCAUUUAUCACAGGAGAGAAACAUUCUCUAAAUGCUAGUAAUGUAGAUGAACAUGAACAUGAAGAGCUUGAUAAUGGAUUUUUAGCUGGUUCAAUAAGACCUGAUGCAGAGAAUUAUGGCCUUUCCUCUGGAGUGCUAUGGGAUAUACUAAAUGGGAAGCAUCAUACCUUGCCUGUUCUUCAAGUUUGUGAUUGCUUCAUAGAUUAUUAGGGAAACCAAAUGCUGGUGCUCAGCGAUGGAGAUAAUAAAGAGUUAGUACUGCUUGUUCCUCAGUUGAAGCAUCUCAUCCUGAAAAGGGUGACAUUGUUCAGGUAUACUAUCAUAAUCGGAAUGGAUUUUAUAGAUUACAUUGCAGAAAUCAUGAACCUGAAACCCUUAAUUGAGGAUGCAAUGGAUAACCCACUUCCUUCAGAGGAGCUUCUCCAUAUGCACCCUUAUUCUUCUUAUCUUGGUGAUCAACUCAAUGGAUCUUGACCAAUGCCCAGCACUGCUGACUACUUCUCGAUAACACCAUCUUAUCCGCCUCAAUCGAGCAAUGCUUAUGCAGAUUUAACGUAUCCCAAUUAUCCUUUAUAUGAUAGCCAUCAGCCACAUCCAUGGCAUUUGUAUCCACAGACGGAAGCAAACAGAGAUUAUGUUUUAGGGAUGGCUCAACAGAUAGAGCAGCUUCAUUUUGAGCUGCAGAACUGAGGUCAGAGCUGCACUCGAUCUGUGACAGCCAUAAAUUAUAGAUGGUACAUGUUGAUCGAAGAUGAAAGAAGACAUGACUAAUCUUGAAGACCAGGUUCAGUUGUUACAGAAGGAAGUCGACGAAAAACUUACAUUGGUAAAAUAGGCUAUGAAGAAUAUAUCAGAGAAUUGA